Molecule: ribosomal RNA, 210 nt
Filed under: Escherichia coli
Lineage: Bacteria; Pseudomonadati; Pseudomonadota; Gammaproteobacteria; Enterobacterales; Enterobacteriaceae
Also listed under: 1 other name
Description: partial 23S ribosomal RNA
Rfam family: Bacterial large subunit ribosomal RNA
Source: RNAcentral
GAAUGCUGACAUAAGUAACGAUAAAGCGGGUGAAAAGCCCGCUCGCCGGAAGACCAAGGGUUCCUGUCCAACGUUAAUCGGGGCAGGGUGAGUCGACCCCUAAGGCGAGGCCGAAAGGCGUAGUCGAUGGGAAACAGGUUAAUAUUCCUGUACUUGGUGUUACUGCGAAGGGGGGACGGAGAAGGCUAUGUUGGCCGGGCGACGGUUGUC